This 734-nucleotide long non-coding RNA is filed under the name Physcomitrium patens. Its description in RNAcentral is "long non-coding RNA (PPAT_LNC003366)". The record is from RNAcentral. Lineage: Eukaryota; Viridiplantae; Streptophyta; Bryopsida; Funariales; Funariaceae.
CUUCGAGCAUCCUUAGCUGUUGCUGCAGCGAUGUAUAGCCGCGAAGCUGUGGUUUAUAAUUGGAACCUGGGUUCGCGCAAAUCGGUUGCGAAUUACCCAAGCUUGAUUCACGGUGAGUUACAUUGACAAUCCUAAUCUCUGUGCAUCCUCAUGAUAAGCAGGAACUUGGAAUGUUGAGAAGCACCUUCGACGAUUCGAAACUUCAUGAACAGGAAUCCAGGUUUCAGGUUGUGCAGAAUCCUCAGCUGUUUGGGUUGCCGCAGCUCAACUCUCUUGUUUAUGCUUUAUUUAGCAGCACAAGUUCUGUGAGCAAAUGGGUCAGCUGGCUGUCUCCGGCAACUUUAUCCAACCAGUCGACAAUUCUAAUCAUUCCCAGCCUUCUGUUCGAGCGGAAAGACGUUCAUAAAUAUCAAGGUGAAAUAUCAGAUUGAUCCUUUUCUAACUGAAUAAAAUAAGAAUAAAAUGCAUAUGAGUUCACCUUUUGUGACAAUCCUAACCAUCGAAACUUGAGGAGUGUUAUGAAAUCAGCAUCACAACAAUGUCCAAUCCCUACAACAGGGAUGAUUCGUAUAACUCCAAAACAAAUAGAAACAUCCACUAUCCAGCACAGAUUUACUGAAAAAUACUUCACACCCAAAUAGCGUGGCUAAACUAGUCAUAAACGAAUUCACAACUCUUUAACAACAGCAGAUCAAGAAGUUAACUUUUGAGACAAGAAGUUCACAAUAAUCUUU